This 728-nucleotide long non-coding RNA is filed under the name Mus spicilegus (steppe mouse). RNAcentral's name for it is "lncRNA (ENSMSIG00000031288.1)". The record is from RNAcentral. Lineage: Eukaryota; Metazoa; Chordata; Mammalia; Rodentia; Muridae.
GAAAAAGCAAGAAAUCAACCAAGUAACUUUGUGACCAAUCAAGGCUUCCUGUGGCCUGUGUUGCUUGAGGGUUCCCAGUCAUUAUCUGUGUGAAGAUUGGGUCCAGCACUUAGCACCUAGAGUUAUAGCUGCUUGCUCCUUCCAGGAAAGAGAGUCAAAAAUCCAUGCCAACAGUGUUUGUCUGAGUGUGAGAAGAGAGCAUGUCAGAGCCAGUGGUGAGGCCCAGAUGAGUGUGUGCAGGGACCCAAGCUUUGCUGACUUUGUACCUCCAACCAGAGACCCUGAUGACAAAGCACAGCAUUGCUCCAGCAAGAUGCCUCUUGGACAUCACAGAUGCUCUUUCAUAGAAAGAGAGCCUGCCUUGCUUGCUUGCUCAUCUGUACCUCCAUUCCCAGCUCUAUAUCGAGGCUUUUUGGAGCUUAACUAAGAGUCAUGCCGGCCUGGUCAUGAAGCCGUCCUUCCAGGACAUUGAUACCACGAGUCUACUCAAUGUGUUAGUGUGCGCAUGGGUUUCCCGGCCAUCUACUGAAGCAUGGGCCUUUCUCAGGGACUGCAUCCAGAAACUGAGCCCGUUUCCUGAGCAGUCAUCCGUCGCUCAUUAGCUCCUUGGCUACUAGGAAGAAAACCAUAUUUUUAAAUGAAAAAAAAAUGUAAUAUGAAAUGGAAUUAUGACAUGGGAGAGAACUGAACUACCAAGUUACCACGUGGAAGAAAAACCAUCACCCAGG